Molecule: ribosomal RNA, 497 nt
Filed under: Acinetobacter schindleri
Lineage: Bacteria; Pseudomonadati; Pseudomonadota; Gammaproteobacteria; Moraxellales; Moraxellaceae
Description: bacterial SSU rRNA
Rfam family: Bacterial small subunit ribosomal RNA
Source: RNAcentral
GGCGCAGAGCCGGCAAGGCUUAACAAAUGCAAGUCGAGCGGGGGAGGUUGCUUCGGUAACUGACCUAGCGGCGGACGGGUGAGUAAUGCUUAGGAAUCUGCCAUUUAGUGGGGGACAACAUUCCGAAAGGAAUGCUAAUACCGCAUACGUCCUACGGGAGAAAGCAGGGGAUCUUCGGACCUUGCGCUAAAUGAUGAGCCUAAGUCGGAUUAGCUAGUUGGUGGGGUAAAGGCCUACCAAGGCGACGAUCUGUAGCGGGUCUGAGAGGAUGAUCCGCCACACUGGGACUGAGACACGGCCCAGACUCCUACGGGAGGCAGCAGUGGGGAAUAUUGGACAAUGGGCGGAAGCCUGAUCCAGCCAUGCCGCGUGUGUGAAGAAGGCCUUUUGGUUGUAAAGCACUUUAAGCGAGGAGGAGGCUCUCUUAGUUAAUACCUAAGAUGAGUGGACGUUACUCGCAGAAUAAGCACCGGCUAACUCUGUGCCAGCAGCCGCAA